Felis catus (domestic cat) is the source of this 1418-nucleotide long non-coding RNA. RefSeq lists it as uncharacterized. The transcript is spliced from 3 exons. The record is from RefSeq and is a predicted model, not a curated record. Lineage: Eukaryota; Metazoa; Chordata; Mammalia; Carnivora; Felidae.
CUGAUUAAAGGUAAACUGAUAAAGAACAUAUCUGAUCAGGGAAAAAAAAUACUUCCGUUCUAGGGUGGGAAUUUUUUCCCCUCACGAUUGCUUCCUUAUCCAUGACCCAUUCAGAUGAUUGAGCCAAGGUACUCCAAGGAAUAUUUGGACCUGCUAAUCUGAUGGUACUUAAUCUUUUAAAAGAACUACAAGUAUUCUCGAUCAUCAGAGAGAAAUUGACACCAAGGAGCUGCGUGAGAGUUUCAUAGUGAACCACGGGACCAAGAAGUCUAACGAUCCUAUCACACAGACCCUGUUAUCCAUUGUCUUUUUACUAGCUGCCUCAUGAGUUAUUUGCAGGGUCUGGAAGUGCCUUCUUUAAGGAAGCAACAAGAUUUUAACUAUCGUGUGUUAAAAAUUAAGGAAUUUGUCUAAUGAGACACUGUCAACAGAAUUGGUUCUAUGUUGGCCCUGAACCACACAAAAUCAGGUAAAAUUUGUUUGUAUCUCAGUAUUUUUAGGUAUUUGAUGUCUAAGUGAUUACAGUUUCAAAUAGGGCAUGGACUUAAGAAUAACAUUAGUGCCCUGUGUAGCUCAAAUAAUAACACGUAGUCAUCACCAUGAAAAAAUAGAAAGCAUAUGCGGUAAAGUAGUAUCAUCUUGAUGAAACUGUCAGAUAGUCACUUGACUGAGCUGUAGAGACCCUCAGAAAUCUAAAUGAGGUGGAGUUUAUGCAAGUCCUGAUGUAGGAAUAGUCUUUGAAGUUGCAAAUGAAUAUUUCUCAUUAUAAACAUAAUUGAAUAAAAGGAAUUGAGGUAACUGAGCUAAAGAUCAACUUAAAAUUUUUACCGGGAUGGAAGAUUAUUCCAUGCAUAUUAAACAAAAGAGCCAAAAAUACUUGUUUCAUGAAAUUUCUUCUGAGGAAGGAAAAUGAGGUGUGUUUGGAUGAUUUACCACAUCCAUAAAAUUUAGGGCAUAAAAGCCUCUGAGCAGAUGUGAAGAUUCAUAGUCAAGAAGCACACAUUCGAGAACAAACCAAGCCUUUAACUCUUGACACCAUAAGGUAUUAUGGCAGCUACUCUGGAGAUCUGGGCUGUGGUGGUGGCUGGGGAAGUGACAGAUAUGUCUGCUACUGCCCAUUGUGCUAGAGGGAUAUGGAUUCUCUGGCUUCUAUUAAAAUUCUUCUUCAUGAGUCUCAUAUAUUGUUCCAUGAGUGGACUUGCUGAAUCUGAUUUCUACCUCUGGAUCAAUGAAGACUGCGUGGGUCCAUUUAUUCAAAAUAAUUAGCACCUAAAGUUUUCAGUACAUUUAUAAUUACACAAAUUUGUCUCUGUCUCCUUGAUUUCUUUAAUAAAGUCUCUUAAUUUGAAACAGAAAUGCAGCUUUUGUUUAAUUCUUUAUUAUCAAUUAUACAUGUAACUAAGCGUAGAGACUACACA